AUCUCUGUAAAAUAAUCAUUUUUUUAACUAGCGUGGCAGUGAAAUCUUUGCUUUGUAGCUAAAGUCAACAGUGACAGAGUUUGAGCUCAAAUAAAUGCUGUGAUGUCUGGAGCCCUUUGCAGAAGAGAGAAGGCAAGCUUCUACAAUGGGCUUCUGUGGGGCUUGCCAACAAGCGGCUAUUUUGCACAGGGCGCUGCUGACUGAAGUGAUCCCCACGGGCCGAGCGGAGGAGAGGAGGGAGAGGAAGCCUCGGAGGGAAAAGGGAUAGGUUUGGAGGAGCCUCGUUGAUGCACUCACGCUCACACAAACUCAAACACAAUGUCCCCUCUCAGUCCUGGUCUGUGACCGGCCCGUGGCAUUGCCCAGAUGUUCAUGGAUGUUCAUGUGAGCGGACACUUCCUACACUCCUUACUUUCAUCUCCCUGCAUCAUUCGAGCUGAAAGCUCCUUCCUGUCGAUGUACUUGGCUAUAUUUGCGUCUGACCUGUCUGCCAUAUGUAAUAUCAAAGCCUCUGUCAGCAUGGAGUUGAAUGGGAACAAAAGAGAGGCCUCCAUUAAUGAUUAACUGUUCUAAAAGCCCCGGCUUUUGUAUUCCCAUGGUGCCCAGGCUAUCUGGCCACCAUGUGACAUGCUCACAGCAUUUUUCGAGCAGAUUGGGGGAAAGCUAGUGAGCAAACACAGGUGCUUUGGAGCAGCGCUGCCGACGCUGUCAGGGACAACCACAAACAAGAGCAGCUAUGCCUGGCUAAAUGAAUCCCCACCCCUCCCAGCACCAUCACCACCUCCUCAACCCCCCGCUCUGUCACCAGCUAACUUGUUUGCUAGCUCCCUAUAGCUUUCUCCCUCUGCAUGGUCACCGCAAGCCAACCCCCCCCCCCUCCUUCCACAAAUGCAACGUCCGCCGCAGCCAGGCUCCAGAACUUCUCACACCCUCCACAGAAACAAACAAAUAAAAGUGAAGACGGCCAACCACUUCUUUGAGGUGAUGGCAUUUGUUGCGGUCAUGACUAGUGGGAGAGCAAACAAAUUAAUGGUGUCCUUGUUUUCACUUUCUAAACUAAACUAAAUGUCUUUUACUUCAAGUGUGGCAAUACCAAUGACCCCAGUGUCAAAUGCUGCAUAAAGGUUGAACAUUCUUGCACUUGAAAUGUUGAGAGGAGGCCAUAAGAAAUUAACCAAGACUUGAGUAUAGCUGUACGUAAGUGGAACUAAAAUCAAGACCAGUCAUUGGUUAAAUAAAAGAGUAUUUUAGCAGCAAACAAUACAAAAGGCAUCUGAAGCUCCAAACCUUUUCAUCAGAGUGACUCGGGGUGCUGUGUCGCUCGACUUUGAUAAGACAAUCAGAUGAUAGGGUGGCGUUAUCUUAACAUGGCUUUUCCGACUGGGAGACAAAUGAACACUGUGUGAUAAAGGGAACAAAAGCUUUGCUCUUAUUGGCUGGUUCCACUGGGAAAAGGAAAAAUUAUCAGAGUGGAAAAUUCACAUUAGGUGCUGGUAUUUCAUUUUCAAUUUGGCACUCAAGCCAGGUCACAGGGACAACUUUAUAUUUUAUCACUUAUUAUUAUAUAUAUAUCUAUUAUCUAAUUCUGGAUUUUGGGUUUGAAAAAUUGCAUUUACCUGAACCUUUAAACCAGUUAUCAAAGGAUAAAGGGGAUAAAAGUGCUUCAUAAAAGAUGAUUUACAUUAGGAAGAGAGAAAAUGAAUCUGUAAACAUAAAAGUUGCAAAAACAGAGAAAAGACUGGCUGGAAGAGAUCAAAAAUCAAAGAGAAAGUGAAAAUGUCAGAGAUGUUGCUUGCAUUUGAGACCAAUGAGUGCUUACCGUAAAAAGGUGAAAUGUGGUUUCAUCAGUUUCUGAUCAAUGAAACAUCAAUUUUUCUCUGGGUUCUCUGACUUUUACAGCCUAUUUCUCAGUGUAAGAAAAAAACGAGUAGGCACAAGGGUUCACUCAAAGUUUUGCUUGCCCAUUUCCCCAAGAAAUGAUUGGAAAAAUAUCAGUGCCCCCUGGUAUGAAAUGUUAGCACUUCGUUGGAACUAGAACUAAUUAAAAACAAAAAAUUUUGUCAUGUUCUGCGUGAAUAAAAUAUUUUAUUUUUAA
This is a long non-coding RNA of Girardinichthys multiradiatus, 2095 nucleotides long. RefSeq lists it as uncharacterized. Lineage: Eukaryota; Metazoa; Chordata; Actinopteri; Cyprinodontiformes; Goodeidae. The record is from RefSeq and is a predicted model, not a curated record. The transcript is spliced from 3 exons.